AAUGAACGCUGGCGGCGUGCUUAACACAUGCAAGUCGUGCGCGAAGGUGGCUUCGGCUGCCGGAGAGCGGCGAACGGGUGAGUAACACGUGGGCAAUCUGCCUGGGGGUGUGGGAUAACCUGGGGAAACUCGGGCUAAUACCGCAUACGUUGCCGGGACCUUGGUCCUGUCAAGAAAGCUGGCCUCUGUUUACAAGCUAGCGCUCCCAGAGGAGCCCGCGGCUGAUAGCUAGUUGGUGAGGUAACGGCCCACCAAGGCGACGAUCAGUAGCUGGUCUGAGAGGGUGAUCGGCCACACUGGAACUGAGACACGGUCCAGACUCCUACGGGAGGCAGCAGUGGGGAAUAUUGCGCAAGUGGGGAAACCUGACGCAGCAACGCCGCGUGGAGGAUGAAGGCC
This 399-nucleotide ribosomal RNA is filed under the name uncultured bacterium. RNAcentral's name for it is "bacterial SSU rRNA". It matches the Rfam family "Bacterial small subunit ribosomal RNA", at positions 28 to 416 of the family's 1533-position model. The record is from RNAcentral.